RNAcentral lists this long non-coding RNA (490 nucleotides) under Pan troglodytes (chimpanzee). RNAcentral's name for it is "long non-coding RNA NONPTRT016600". The record is from RNAcentral. Lineage: Eukaryota; Metazoa; Chordata; Mammalia; Primates; Hominidae.
CAACUCCAGGACCUUGUUGGGGUGCAGGACGCCCUUCCCGUCACCCCGGGACGUGGGAAGUGCAGGCCCUGCCGGUCCAAGUCCCCACGAAGGCGCGAGCCCAGCAUUGACCUGCUGCAGGCCUUCGUGGAGCACUGGAAGGGCAUCACGCACUACUACAUCGAGAGCACAGGUGCGGCCUGGCCCUCCCCAGCCCAGGGACCCUGGAGGGAGCGGGGAGGAAGGAGUGUGCAGAGUGUCACCAUUCAGGUGUCCUGGGAAAGGUAACCUGCCCAGUCGUUCAGAAUCGGAGCCGAGUUCACGGAGACAGAGAACCAGACAGACAGAAGACCCAGAGCCCUGGGCCACUCCACUCCUGAUGAUUUAGCUGCUGGUCCCACUCUGACCUUUUAGAAAGAGGCUGUGUGAGGAAGGAGUAGCCUGGUUGGGGGUCUCACUGGCCUGACUCUGCAAGGAAGAGGUGGCUGCACUUCCCCCAGCUUCCAGCUCC